Molecule: non-coding RNA, 116 nt
Organism: Pan troglodytes (chimpanzee)
Lineage: Eukaryota; Metazoa; Chordata; Mammalia; Primates; Hominidae
Source: Rfam
GUUCUCACUUUAGCAAUACAUAUACUAAAAAUGGGAUGAUACAGAUAAGAUUAGCGUAGCCCUUGGACAAGGAUGACACAUAAAUUCUUGAAGCAUUCCAUUAAAAAAAGAUUUUU